UACAGAGGUCUCAAGCGUUGUUCGGAUUCAUUGGGCAUAAAGGGUGCGUAGGUGGCGCCAUAAGUCAGGUGUGAAAUCUCGGAGCUCAACUCCGAAACUGCACUUGAUACUGUGGUGCUUGAGUACUGGAGAGGAGAUUGGAAUUUACGGUGUAGCAGUGAAAUGCGUAGAUAUCGUAAGGAAGACCAGUGGCGAAGGCGAAUCUCUGGACAGUUACUGACACUGAGGCACGAAGGCCAGGGGAGCAAACGGG
Molecule: ribosomal RNA, 253 nt
Filed under: uncultured bacterium
Lineage: Bacteria
Description: partial 16S ribosomal RNA
Rfam family: Bacterial small subunit ribosomal RNA
Source: RNAcentral